GAUACAUAUGCCUAAAGUGAGAGUUUUACAGAAGUGAACAAGAACUGUGUACUGUUGACCUCUUUAACCCUUUGCUUACCGCUGGUACAGCAGGUGGACCACAUGCGAUGGUACAACGCGGUUUACCGUAAGCAAAGGGUCAAGUAAUGAGGGUGUUUACAACUUCGCGCCUAAAGAACUUAGAGGGAGAAGUUGCUUCACUUGCUCAGAAUUUCCAAGAUUAAAAGAAGAAUAAGGAUUGCAACAUAAAUUCUAAUAAGAAUCAUUGAUUAUUUCAUUUCAUUUCUAAACGCUUAAA
Parasteatoda tepidariorum (common house spider) is the source of this 298-nucleotide non-coding RNA. NCBI's taxonomy places the organism in Eukaryota, Metazoa, Arthropoda, Arachnida, Araneae, Theridiidae. The record is from RefSeq and is a predicted model, not a curated record.